AGAGUUUGAUCAUGGCUCAGGACGAACGCUGGCGGCGUGCUUAACACAUGCAAGUCGAACGGUAAGGCCCCUUCGGGGGUACACGAGUGGCGAACGGGUGAGUAACACGUGGGUAAUCUGCCCUGCACUUCGGGAUAAGCCUGGGAAACUGGGUCUAAUACCGGAUAUGAACUCCUGCCGCAUGGUGGGGGUUGGAAAGUUUUUCGGUGCAGGAUGAGCCCGCGGCCUAUCAGCUUGUUGGUGGGGUAAUGGCCUACCAAGGCGACGACGGGUAGCCGGCCUGAGAGGGUGAUCGGCCACACUGGGACUGAGACACGGCCCAGACUCCUACGGGAGGCAGCAGUGGGGAAUAUUGCACAAUGGGCGAAAGCCUGAUGCAGCGACGCCGCGUGGGGGAUGACGGUCUUCGGAUUGUAAACCCCUUUCAGUAGGGACGAAGCGCAAGUGACGGUACCUGCAGAAGAAGCACCGGCUAACUACGUGCCAGCAGCCGCGGUAAUACGUAGGGUGCGAGCGUUGUCCGGAAUUACUGGGCGUAAAGAGCUCGUAGGCGGUUUGUCACGUCGUCUGUGAAAUCCCUCGGCUUAACCGGGGGCGUGCAGGCGAUACGGGCAGACUUGAGUACUACAGGGGAGACUGGAAUUCCUGGUGUAGCGGUGAAAUGCGCAGAUAUCAGGAGGAACACCGGUGGCGAAGGCGGGUCUCUGGGUAGUAACUGAC
RNAcentral lists this ribosomal RNA (720 nucleotides) under Dietzia sp. VP6-3. Its description in RNAcentral is "bacterial SSU rRNA". It matches the Rfam family "Bacterial small subunit ribosomal RNA", at positions 8 to 744 of the family's 1533-position model. The record is from RNAcentral. Lineage: Bacteria; Bacillati; Actinomycetota; Actinomycetes; Mycobacteriales; Dietziaceae.